GACGAACGCUGACGGUGUGCUUUAGACAUGCAAGUCGAACGAGAAAGCCCUUCGGGUUAGUAAGUGGCGAACGGGUGAGUAACACGUGGGCAAUCUGCCCCUCGCAGGGGGACGAACCGGAGGAAACUCCGGCUAAUACCCCGUAAGUUCAAAGGGAGGCAUCUCUCUUCGAAGAAAGGUAGCUUCGGCCAUCCGGCGAGGGAUGAGCCCGCGGUGCAUUAGCUAGUUGGUGGGGUAACGGCCUACCAAGGCGACGAUGCAUAGCUGGUCUGAGAGGAUGAUCAGCCACACUGGGACUGAGACACGGCCCAGACUCCUACGGGAGGCAGCAGUCGGGAAUCUUGCGCAAUGGGCGAAAGCCUGACGCAGCAACACCGUGUGUGUGAGGAA
RNAcentral lists this ribosomal RNA (390 nucleotides) under uncultured bacterium. RNAcentral describes it as "bacterial SSU rRNA". It matches the Rfam family "Bacterial small subunit ribosomal RNA", at positions 28 to 412 of the family's 1533-position model. The record is from RNAcentral.